UCACACAAAUUUAUUACAGUAUCAGAAGCAUAAGAAAUGUUCGGAAUACGGCGUACGUUGAGUAUAUAAAAAAAUUUUCUCUUGUUUAUAAGUGCGUCUGCGCAUGCGCGAAAAAUGGAUAAAUAGCGUGAAAUAUUGCUUCCUGUGCUCAUUCUGCUGUGACCUCUAGAGGCGGCCACAUGGUAUCAGAAGUAAACUAGAGAUUCAGAAUACUGUGCAAGUUGAGUUUAUAAAAGAAUUUUCUCUUGUUUAUAAGUGCGUCUGCGCAUGCGCGAAAAAUGGAUAAAUAGCGUGAAAUAUUGCUUCCUGUGCUCAUUCUGCUGUGACCUCUAGAGGCGGCCACAUGGUAUCAGAAGUAAACUAGAGAUUCAGAAUACUGUGCAAGUUGAGUUUAUAAAAGAAUUUUCUCUGGUUUAUAAGUGUCGUCCCCUCAUGCGCAAAAAAUGGAUAAAUAGCGUCAAAUAUUGCCUCCUGUUCUCCUUCUGCUGUGACCUCUAGAGGCGGCCACAUCGUAUCAGAAGCAUAAUAAAUGUUCAGAAUACUGUGCAAGUUGAGUUUAUAAGAAAAUUUUCUCUGGUUUCUAAGUGUCGUCUGCGCAUGCAAGAAGAAAAUGUAUGAAGAGUAUGUAAUAUUGGUUCCUGCGCUCAUUCUGAAUUGACCUGUGGAAGCGGACAAAUCUUAUCAGAAGCAUAAUAAAUGUUCGGAAUACUGCGUACGUUGAGUAUAUAAAAAAAUUUUCUCUUGUUUAUAAGUGCGUCUGCUCAUGCGCGAAAAAUGGAUAAAUAGCGUGAAAUAUUGCUUCCUGUGCUCAUUCUGCUGUGACCUCUAGAGGCGACCACAUCGGUAAAUCGUAUUAUUUUAUGUAUUAAAUUUAUCUGGAAUAUACUUUUAUAGUUAUUCACACAAAUUUAUUACAGUAUCAGAAGCAUAAGAAAUGUUCGGAAUACGGCGUACGUUGAGUAUAUAAAAAAAAUGUUCUCUUGUUUAUAAGUUUCGUCUGUGCAUGCGCCAAAAAAGGGAUAACUAGGGUGAAAUAUUGCUUCCUGUGCUCAUUCUGCUGUGACCUCUAGAGGCGACCACAUCGUAUCAGAAGCAUAAGAAAUGUUCGGAAUACGGCGUACGUUGAGUAUAUAAAAAAAUUUUCUCUUGUUUAUAAGUGCGUCUGCGCAUGCGCGAAAAAUGGAUAAAUAGCGUGAAAUAUUGCUUCCUGUGCUCAUUCUGCUGUGACCUCUAGAGGCGGCCACAUGGUAUCAGAAGUAAACUAGAGAUUCAGAAUACUGUGCAAGUUGAGUUUAUAAAAGAAUUUUCUCUUGUUUAUAAGUGCGUCUGCGCAUGCGCGAAAAAUGGAUAAAUAGCGUGAAAUAUUGCUUCCUGUGCUCAUUCUGCUGUGACCUCUAGAGGCGGCCACAUGGUAUCAGAAGUAAACUAGAGAUUCAGAAUACUGUGCAAGUUGAGUUUAUAAAAGAAUUUUCUCUGGUUUAUAAGUGUCGUCCCCUCAUGCGCAAAAAAUGGAUAAAUAGCGUCAAAUAUUGCCUCCUGUUCUCCUUCUGCUGUGACCUCUAGAGGCGGCCACAUCGGUAAAUCCUAUUAUUUAGAAUAAUAAAUUUAUCUGGAAUAUACUUCGAUAG
This 1628-nucleotide long non-coding RNA is filed under the name Nasonia vitripennis (jewel wasp). Its description in RNAcentral is "uncharacterized LOC116415833". Lineage: Eukaryota; Metazoa; Arthropoda; Insecta; Hymenoptera; Pteromalidae. The record is from RNAcentral.